RNAcentral lists this ribosomal RNA (253 nucleotides) under uncultured bacterium. Its description in RNAcentral is "partial 16S ribosomal RNA". It matches the Rfam family "Bacterial small subunit ribosomal RNA", at positions 524 to 776 of the family's 1533-position model. The record is from RNAcentral.
UACGUAGGGUGCGAGCGUUAAUCGGAAUUACUGGGCGUAAAGCGUGCGCAGUCGGUUCGCUGUGUCCGAUGUGAAAGCCCCGGGCUUAACCUGGGAAUGGCAUUGGAAACUGGCGAGCUUGAGUGUGGCAGAGGGGGGUGGAAUUCCGCGUGUAGCAGUGAAAUGCGUAGAGAUGCGGAGGAACACCGAUGGCGAAGGCAGCCCCCUGGGCUAACACUGACGCUCAGGCACGAAAGCGUGGGGAGCAAACAGG